RNAcentral lists this long non-coding RNA (2465 nucleotides) under Panax ginseng (ginseng). RNAcentral's name for it is "long non-coding RNA (PGIN_LNC009714)". Lineage: Eukaryota; Viridiplantae; Streptophyta; Magnoliopsida; Apiales; Araliaceae. The record is from RNAcentral.
UUCAAUAAUGAGGGAGAGUGGAGGAGACUUGCGGAGGGAAAAAUAAUAAUAAUAAACCUUGAAACAUAUCUGAGCUCUCCCAAAGGGCUCCGACCUUCCAUUCCUUAACUGCUCAGUUAAUCAAUUACAAGUAUAUUACUCUCAUUUUCUUAUUAUUCCAUUUCGUUAAGAAGAAAUCCAGUAGAGAGAAAAUUGAGAGAACUAAGAGAGAGAGAAAGAGCGUCAAUGGGUUUCCUGUGAAGUAGGGAGAAAACUUUGGAGAUCAAGGAGAAGAAGGAAGGGUUAAUCAAACAUUCUCCACCAUCUAACUAGGCUUAAGAAGAUCUAAGAGGUAAGAAAGACACUUCAAAACUUCUAAUUCCUAUUUCUUAAGUUUUGCUCUGUUAGAAGUUGUUUGGUUGAAUGAGUUAGAGAAGAGUUCAAAUUAUGUGAUUUCAAUUAAUUAAUAAUCUGAUUUGUGUCAUUUAAAAGUGAAAUUAGAGUAAUCAAAUUCGAAUUUGAGUGUAAAAGAGAAAGAAAUAGACUUUAGACUAAUUUUAGAUCUUUUGGGUUUGUUUUAGAAAAUAAAUUGCUUCUAAUCUUAUGUUUAAAUUCUUGAAUUGAUGGUUGUAUGUUAUAUAUAUCUGAAAUACAAAAAUAAUCCAUUUUAAAUGAAUCAAAUUGGACUUAAAAUGAAUUCGCGGUGAAGGAUUCCGUAAAACAUGUUAAAAUAAGAAAAUAUAACAUGAAUACUGAAUUUGGGUUAUUUAAAUGGUUGGAUAGAAUUCCUGUAAUAUAAAAAUUGUUCUGCAAAGGUGUAUUUUAGUUUGUAGCGAGUUUAUAGAAUUGUAAACUAUCUGAUUUGGUCCAUAAAUGAAUAAGAUAGAAAGUUUGGACGGAAACAGAGUAUGAAAUGAAGCUGCAGGUGGGUGUUGUCGCGCCGUGAUCCAGGUUUAAUUGGGCGCGGUUGCGCUGGUACCAAGGCCAAAUAUGGCACGGCCGCGCUAGUGGCAGAUAAGACCCAAUAAUGAGAUUUUAAAUAUACAAAUUGGGAGAUGUUUUACUUAACUUAUUCUAAUGAACAUGAUGAGAUGUUAAGUGUGUAAAAAGACAUAAUGACAAGUCAUAAUCACAUUAAAGAAUGAUGGGUCAUAGAAUGGACUUAAUGUAAGAGGUUAGUGAACAUUGUUUCAUAGCUGAUCAAAUGUAUUAUCAUGAAUUAAAUGUGUAGGAUAUUUAAAGGACAUGUAUCAUAACUUUGUAGCGGACGCCCAAGGCAAGUUUCCUAACUUUUGCUUAUAUUUCAAUAUUGAGCAACGUUUCAUAUUAUAUACUAUUCCUUUUAUACUUGAAUUAAUUUCCCGAGUAAUUGCAAGGUCUCUAAUUAUUUUUAAAAACAUUACUUUGAUAAUUGACACUUGUUCAAAUAUGAAUCGUUGCAAUUCUAUUUUAAUCGGAAUUAACGAAUUAUGGCAUGUUAAUGUGCCACAUCUUGAGAUGAUUAUUGAAUCCUUUGAUUUAUUAUCGAACCCAUUUGAUUCGGCUAGUCCUUAGUCGAUGAGCGUUCUAAAAAGUCUAGAAUUAUUUCUGAAGUUAUACCGAAUCGAAUUGUUUCGAUAUGGUUUCUUGUGAUAAAUUUGAGAUGAACAACCCUAUUUAGGGGAAAAUGUUAUCGAAAACUAUAAUUCUGAACUACACAAUAGGGAUGAUAUGUUUGUGCACAAUGCAUAGUACGAAAGGCUGAUCACCUGGAGUACGAAGUAAGAUGGUCCAUAAUCUUUUGACUGUUAAAGGUUACAGUAGAAAUACUUGUGAACCUAGGACAUAGUUCGUUGUCUAGUGACCCUCUGUGUAUACAUUGAAUUCAACAUCUGUGAUUUGACUUAGACAAUUAAUUAUCUCAUUGAUUUCACAAGUUCUUGACUUAUGGAUGCAUCUAUUCCAAUAAGGGACUUUUCAUUCAGUUGAAGAAUAAACAUUUGUUUCUUUCACGAGUCAUUUAUUGUAUAUCAUUUUACUUGUGGGCAAAUUGAUUGUUCACCCUUGCAUAACCAUUUCAGCUAAGAUCGAGGAACCUAAGAAGCCUUUUUCGAGCAAAGACAAGGGCAAAAUGCAUGAAUAAAUGAUUUUUAAUUUAUAUUUAUUCAUAUUGAGUUAUGUAAUGGAUUUAAUUACUUUUCUGCAAUUCUGACGUAAUAAAUGUUAGAUGACCUGAGAUAUGUUUAUGUAGGUAAACUUUUAAUAUGGAUUAUUAUAUAUGAUAUUAUUAUCUUAAUUAAUGGGUAGUUUAGAUGUUGUAUGUGAUUGAUCCGUGAGCAUUGAAUUUGUGGAUUAAGGUACCCGAAUUUGUGGGUUAAAAUACCCGAAUUUGAACGCGUCACAUAUACUACAAUACUAAAAAAUCGUAUUUCAACCAAAAAGUGUAAAUUGUCCAUAAAAUAUGGACCGUUGAUGGUGUCAUUGGACCCCAUUAAAUUAUUCAUGAC